This is a non-coding RNA of Pelobates cultripes (western spadefoot toad), 985 nucleotides long. The record is from the annotation of a GenBank genome assembly. Lineage: Eukaryota; Metazoa; Chordata; Amphibia; Anura; Pelobatidae.
GCCCCAAUCACCAGACAGGAUCUAAAAACCCUGCUGACAGAUUUUCACACAAUUCUAGCGACGGAACUUGCUCCCAUCAAAAAAGACAUCAAAGCAAUCACCAGCAGGGUGCAGGCAACCGAAAAAGACAUCACAAGCCUGCAGGAACAUCUAUCCGACCUACAAGAAUCUGUGCAGCAGGUACACACACAACAUAAAGCCUUAACUGCACAGCUCACUGCUCUGGAAGAAAAACAAAGACGCACUAAUAUAAAGAUAAGGGGCAUCCCUGCGGAAGUCACACCAAACGAACUGCCACACUACUCCAGGCGCCUCAUAGCCACAAUCUUGCCUCCAGUUGCAGCCAAAAAACUAGCCGCAGCAGAUAUUUAUCGCUUGCCCUCUUCCGCCAGGGCACCGAAAAACACAGCCCGAGAUGUGAUACUCAGAUGUCCAACAAUACAAGACAAAAUACAGCUCAUGACGGCCCUUAAAGGGAAAACACCACUGGAUUUUGAAGGAACUACACUGUACUUUUUCCAGGACCUAACAAAAGCCACCCUCACCUGGAGGAAAACCUUCUCUUCUCUCACCGGUGGCCUGAGGUCAGUGGGCAUCGAAUACAGAUGGGGGCCCAACGGCUCCGUAAUGGUGCACCGGAACGGAACUCACCACACACUCACCUCAAUGGAAGGUGCACCCGAAUUUUUGAAGGCACUGAGACUGGACAUCCCGAUCGCUGCUACCCCACAUGGGAGGCCAACCACUGCUAGCUGGGACCCAGAACACAUCACCCCCUUUGUUCCAAGGGCCGGGAGCUCCAAGACCACGGAACGGCAACAGCCUCUGGGAACCGGUUUGACGCUGGACACUUAGCCCCUCCAGGGGAAGCAGAACAAGGACACAUUACAAUCCUCGCAAACCCAACUAAUAUCAAAAGUUUAUUGCCUGCCCUGUUGCAUACUUAUUGAUUUUGCUUAUAUGUUGUCUAUGAGGGAAUGUCCAC